UACAGUUUAGUAUAAGAUGUACUUAAAUUUUUGAUAUUUAAAGGAUUGGUUUAAUUCCAUUAAUUGUAA
This 69-nucleotide transfer RNA is filed under the name Bostrichoidea sp. 3 KM-2017. Its description in RNAcentral is "tRNA-Gln". The record is from RNAcentral. Lineage: Eukaryota; Metazoa; Arthropoda; Insecta; Coleoptera.